AUUGAACGCUGGCGGCAUGCCUUACACAUGCAAGUCGAACGGCAGCACGGGAGCAAUCCUGGUGGCGAGUGGCGAACGGGUGAGUAAUAUAUCGGAACGUGCCCAGUCGUGGGGGAUAACGUAGCGAAAGCUACGCUAAUACCGCAUAUGAUCUAUGGAUGAAAGCGGGGGGAUCGCAAGACCUCGCGCGAUUGGAGCGGCCGAUAUCAGAUUAGGUAGUUGGUGAGGUAAAGGCUCACCAAGCCGACGAUCUGUAGCUGGUCUGAGGGGACGACCAGCCACACUGGGACUGAGACACGGCCCAGACUCCUACGGGAGGCAGCAGUGGGGAAUUUUGGACAAUGGGCGCAAGCCUGAUCCAGCAAUGCCGCGUGCAGGAUGAAGGCCUUCGGGUUGUAAACUGCUUUUGUACGGAACGAAACGGCGAGCUCUAAUACAGUUUGCUAAUGACGGUACCGUAAGAAUAAGCACCGGCUAACUACGUGCCAGCCGCCGCCGUAA
Molecule: ribosomal RNA, 501 nt
Filed under: uncultured bacterium
Lineage: Bacteria
Description: partial 16S ribosomal RNA
Rfam family: Bacterial small subunit ribosomal RNA
Source: RNAcentral